Molecule: long non-coding RNA, 1216 nt
Filed under: Sus scrofa (pig)
Lineage: Eukaryota; Metazoa; Chordata; Mammalia; Artiodactyla; Suidae
Description: lncRNA (ENSSSCG00070002782.1)
Source: RNAcentral
CCUGAGGCCCCUGGACAUUAAUUAGUAAGGGCAGGGCUGGGGCAGGUGGGAGCAUAGAAAGAGCAGAAGCUUUUCACUUUCUUCACAGGUUUCCUUAAGGCUGAGACGGUUCUCCUUCAUAACAAGCUCUGAUUUGGGGUGUGCGUUGGGGAGGAAGAGGAUGGAACCCAAGGUUGUUUCUCCUGAGAACAUCUGAUACACUAAACUGAUCAAUGAAGGGAGGAUUUAUACUAUGGGCCAAAAGAAUCAUUAACUUUUAAGGCAGAUUCCUGGCAGGGUUACUUUAACUGGAGGGCAACCUGGCUUGCCUAUCAAAACCACCGCACUUUUAUCUUGCUGAAGGCAGGGAACAGCCGUGGGCGCCUCUGACCUGCCUUCAACCCCUACAGAAAAUGGCAGAAACACAGACUCCUCUUCCUCGGUGGCCGCCCCAGGCCCCACCACCGCUGGCCCCUCCUGACUCAAGCUCUGCGAAUCGGGAGGUUCUUGACACUGUGCAACCACAUCCAAGAAUGAAUGCGACCCUGCGCUUGGUGAAAGGGCAGCUGCUGUGCCCAAGUGCACAACCCCCCGCCCCCGCCGUCAAUUCAGCUGACUUUGGACGGUCCUCCAAUGGUCUCCUGGCUCUCGGAGUUCCCGUCGUGCGUGGCUCAGCGGUUCACGUGCCUGACGCACAUCCCUGAGGAAGUGGGUUCGAUCCCUGGCCUCACUCCGAGGGGAAAGGAUCCGGCGGGGCCGUGAGCUGUGGUGUGGGCCCCAGACACGGCUUGGAUCCCCUGUCGCUGUGGCUGUGCUGGAGGCCGGCAGCUCGGGCUCCGAUGGACGACCACCCCCCCCCACCCCACCCACCGCCGCCCAGCCUGGGAACGUCCAUGUGCUGCGGGGGCGGCCCUCAAAAGACAGAAGACAAAAGACAAAAAAAAAAUCGUUUCUCUCUUCUCAGUGAUCGAUGGAUAAUAAUUCACUUUAUUUAUUAAUUUUUGCUUUUUCUUAUUUCCCUAUCAAUAACUACCUUAUCUUUGCAUUUUUAUUUAGUUUCAACUUUCUAAACUUUCUAGGCUCUCAACAUGAAUUAAACUAUGCCAUAGAUGAUAUGGAAGAGGAAGAGAAAUUGGACACACAUCCAAAGAGAAAUCAGGAGAGGGGAAGGAGAGCCCAUGUCAGGAGGGGAGCAGGGGGAUGGGGUUUGGGGGGAGCUGAUGGGAGGGCACUGGCA